This 468-nucleotide ribosomal RNA is filed under the name uncultured bacterium. Its description in RNAcentral is "partial 16S ribosomal RNA". It matches the Rfam family "Bacterial small subunit ribosomal RNA", at positions 28 to 507 of the family's 1533-position model. The record is from RNAcentral.
GACGAACGCUGGCGGCGUGCUUAACACAUGCAAGUCGAACGGAAAGGCCCUGCUUGUGUGGGGUGCUCGAGUGGCGAACGGGUGAGUAACACGUGAGUAACCUGCCCUUGACUUUGGGAUAACUUCAGGAAACUGGGGCUAAUACCGGAUAGGAGCUCCUGCUGCAUGGUGGGGGUGGGAAAGUUUCGGCGGUUGGGGAUGGACUCGCGGCUUAUCAGCUUGUUGGUGGGGUAGUGGCUUACCAAGGCUUUGACGGGUAGCCGGCCUGUGAGGGUGACCGGCCACAUUGGGACUGAGAUACGGCCCAGACUCCUACGGGAGGCAGCAGUGGGGAAUAUUGCACAAUGGGCGGAAGCCUGAUGCAGCAACGCCGCGUGCGGGAUGACGGCCUUCGGGUUGUAAACCGCUUUCGCCUGUGACGAAGCGUGAGUGACGGUAAUGGGUAAAGAAGCACCGGCUAACUACGUG